RNAcentral lists this ribosomal RNA (104 nucleotides) under uncultured bacterium. RNAcentral's name for it is "partial 16S ribosomal RNA". It matches the Rfam family "Bacterial small subunit ribosomal RNA", at positions 1379 to 1482 of the family's 1533-position model. The record is from RNAcentral.
CCUUGUACACACCGCCCGUCACGCCAUGGAAGCUGGGGGGACCUAAAGUCGGUGGGCUAACCGCAAGGAGGCAGCCGCCAAAGGUCAAUUCAGUGACUAGGGCG